ACACUCCUCCGGGAGGCAGCAGUGGGGAAUUUUGGACAAUGGGCGAAAGCCUGAUCCAGCAAUGCCGCGUGCAGGAUGAAGGCCUUCGGGUUGUAAACUGCUUUUGUACGGAACGAAAAAGCUCCUUCUAAUACAGGGGGCCCAUGACGGUACCGUAAGAAUAAGCACCGGCUAACUACGUGCCAGCAGCCGCGGUAAUACGUAGGGUGCGAGCGUUAAUCGGAAUUACUGGGCGUAAAGCGUGCGCAGGCGGUUAUGUAAGACAGAUGUGAAAUCCCCGGGCUCAACCUGGGAACUGCAUUUGUGACUGCAUGGCUAGAGUACGGUAGAGGGGGAUGGAAUUCCGCGUGUAGCAGUGAAAUGCGUAGAUAUGCGGAGGAACACCGAUGGCGAAGGCAAUCCCCUGGACCUGUACUGACGCUCAUGCACGAAAGCGUGGGGAGCAAACAGGAUUAGAAACCCUUGUAGUCCC
This 472-nucleotide ribosomal RNA is filed under the name uncultured organism. RNAcentral describes it as "partial 16S ribosomal RNA". It matches the Rfam family "Bacterial small subunit ribosomal RNA", at positions 333 to 797 of the family's 1533-position model. The record is from RNAcentral.